UCCACCAGCACUGAAUAUAAAUUCUGAAGCGACAAUAGACAUUGACACGGCCAGGAUGUCUUAUGCCAUAGUAGCAAGCAUCAGAAAGAUAUUUUGCUGCGAUUUUCAUCAUCGCAGCACAUCAAAAUUAUCCAACUGAUUGAGAUUAAGGAUAGCAGUGAUGCCAUUGGUGAGGCAGAAGUUUAAUUCCGAUGACAAGGA
RNAcentral lists this long non-coding RNA (201 nucleotides) under Elaeis guineensis (African oil palm). RNAcentral's name for it is "long non-coding RNA (EGUI_LNC032222)". Lineage: Eukaryota; Viridiplantae; Streptophyta; Magnoliopsida; Arecales; Arecaceae. The record is from RNAcentral.